RNAcentral lists this small nucleolar RNA (80 nucleotides) under Ipomoea nil (Japanese morning glory). RNAcentral describes it as "Small nucleolar RNA Z199". It matches the Rfam family "Small nucleolar RNA Z199". From Rfam's summary of the family: snoZ199 is a C/D box small nucleolar RNA, which acts as a methylation guide RNA for sites on 18S and 25S rRNA. Lineage: Eukaryota; Viridiplantae; Streptophyta; Magnoliopsida; Solanales; Convolvulaceae. The record is from Rfam by way of RNAcentral.
GUAUCAUGUGAUGAGGAAAAAAACUGCAACAAUAUGAAUUUACUAUCCCGUGAUUCAUUGUAUUUAAGUCUCUGAUGAUU